UAAUAAAUGUUUAUGGCACUUUUUAAAUCCAUAUCCACCUUGUGUGCAAUGUCAGUCGAUCUUCUUCAUGGAGAUCGACCAAACAUCAACCUUUAUCUUUUAACUCUUUGUCUGAAAAAUAUUAUGAAUAAACAAUUCAAAAUA
RNAcentral lists this unclassified non-coding RNA (144 nucleotides) under soil metagenome. RNAcentral's name for it is "partial internal transcribed spacer 1". The record is from RNAcentral.